RNAcentral lists this ribosomal RNA (528 nucleotides) under Triticum aestivum (bread wheat). Its description in RNAcentral is "partial small subunit ribosomal RNA". Lineage: Eukaryota; Viridiplantae; Streptophyta; Magnoliopsida; Poales; Poaceae. The record is from RNAcentral.
AUGAACCUUUGCCUCUUAGCUUCCUGGAUUAAGAGAUAUUUCCUGGAUGAGGGCAAGAUUUGGAAGCAAGUUAUUGAUGCCAAAUAUAGAACUAAUAGCCCUUACAUUUUUACUUGUCCAGCCAAUGGUGCUUCCCCUUUUUGGAAGGGAAUUCUCUGGGCCGCUAAAGCCACUAAAAUUGGAUAUUCCUGGAAAAUUGGGAAUGGCAAAAGUGUUAGAUUCUGGGAAGAUCAGUGGAUAGGCCAUACCACCCUCGCUACCCAAUACUGGGAGCUUUACAAUAUUGCCAACGACCACAACGUUGCUAUUAGUGAUGUUUGGGAUGGCACUAAUCUAAAAAUUACAUUUAGGAUGUGUUUCACUCCUAAAAUGCUUGCUGACUGGAGUGAGAUGUUUAAUCUGGUCAGCAAUAUUACUCUGGAUGGGAAUUCAGACACUAUUUGCUGGAAUUAUGAUCCCAAAGGAGUCUACACUGUCAAAUCCUUCUAUAGCAUUAUUAAUUUCAGGGGAUCUGUCCGGGGAACUUAA